GGAGAGAUGCUCGAGUGGUUGAAGAGGCACGCCUGGAAAGUGUGUAAGCGCCAAAAGUGCUUCGGGGGUUCGAAUCCCUUUCUCUCCG
Molecule: transfer RNA, 88 nt
Filed under: Tannerella sp.
Lineage: Bacteria; Pseudomonadati; Bacteroidota; Bacteroidia; Bacteroidales; Tannerellaceae
Description: tRNA-Ser
Rfam family: tRNA
About the family: Transfer RNA (tRNA) molecules are approximately 80 nucleotides in length. Their secondary structure includes four short double-helical elements and three loops (D, anti-codon, and T loops). Further hydrogen bonds mediate the characteristic L-shaped molecular structure. tRNAs have two regions of fundamental functional importance: the anti-codon, which is responsible for specific mRNA codon recognition, and the 3' end, to which the tRNAs corresponding amino acid is attached (by aminoacyl-tRNA synthetases). tRNAs cope with the degeneracy of the genetic code in two manners: having more than one tRNA (with a specific anti-codon) for a particular amino acid; and 'wobble' base-pairing, i.e. permitting non-standard base-pairing at the 3rd anti-codon position.
Source: RNAcentral